CUCUCUCUUCUCUAAUUGCACGGGACGAGCCUUCCUAGCUCCUUCUCCUUCUCAUCUAACAUAAAAAGGACUCGGCAACGAAUUCUCUCUUUGCUACAUAAUGAUGUUAUUCCAACAAUGUAACAGGAACCUUUUCUUCUGGCUUCUGGUGGGAGAUAGUGUUCUAUCUACUGCUCCGGGUUGGUGAUACUUCUGAGACAACAAUGCCAUGGACACAGUUCGUAAAUCCUACCAAGUGGUUAUGCACAAAUUCGUUUGCCUUCGUUUUCUGUCGUACUAACAGCACGCGGCUACAGUGAUGCCUCACAUGCAACACACACACACACACACGUACAAAAGCCUUUUUUGUAGGUACACAUGCAUUAUUGUGGCCUUUUUCGUAGAAUCCGAGCCAUUAUUCCCCAAGCAAAUUAGGUCCCUUGUUACUCCGAGCUUUGAGCCUGAAUCAUGAUGUCCCACAUACUUGAAGCCGUGUAGCUUUCAGAUCCUUAUCUCCUCCACAGCUAAUGUGCUCCUAUGCAUGCUUAGCUGCUUUCUACGAACGUGCACAUAACGUUGCUGGUUGCGGUAAGUUUGAUCGAUGCAUUUGCAAGGUACAUAUAUGGUCCAAAUCAAAGUGCUCAUGCUACGGAAUUUUGUAUUGUUCUUGGGGUCUGUGUCAAGAGAGAGAGCUAUGGAGGCCAACUCCUCACCAUGUCAGACGUGAUGGGGGAAUGCCAACACCAUAAGAGAUGAAGGUGUGGGGUUUUUGAUUAGGGGAGAGGAAAUGAUUAGGAGGUAGCUUUGAGAAGGAGCAACAGGGAAUUGGCGCCUACCGAUGCAAAGAGGAACACCAAAGAAGCCAUUGUUUGCUCUUGGUGCCAAAAACAGCCUAUUAAUUGUUGAAGUUAAUGAAAAGGUCUUUGCCCUCUACAUUUUACUUCUUUUUUUGUCUUGGAAAUUUUCAUUUUACUUCUUCUGUGUUUGCAAAUUUAUUCUAUUGGAGUUUGAUGGAAAAUGUUCAUCCUUUCGGUAAUUACAACUGAAUUUAUUCUCUUUUGCAAACAUUUAUAUUAUUUGAUCUCCCAAUCUUGUUUCUGCAAACGUACCAUCUCUUUCCUUUCUUGGAAUUAAGGUCGCUCUAAUGUCUUCCUCCUAAUCCUCUCCUCCGGCUCCCUCUGCUAUCAUUUGCAUUGACGGUUGCUCUUACCUAAUGAUGUGAGACCUUCCUAUUUGUGUUUCGUAAUGGAUAAAUGUAAUACCAUGCACUUUAAACAAAUAACUAAAAUAGUGAAUAUGUACAUAAAUAUAUUCUAUUUUUUGUGCAUAUUUUAGUCCAUUGCCUUUAAUGUAAAUACAUGCACUUUGAAUAGAUGCAAUACCUUCGAUUUCUUGUAUUCAAGGUUUAUAUAACAGCAGGUAAAAAAAUUAUACCGAAAAGAAAUCGAGGUUGAAACACUAUCAUUGGGAAAGGAGUUUAAACAGUAAUCUCAUGAAAAGCUAAGCUGAGUAACUUUCCAAAAUUUUACAUGUAGUGUUCAUCUUUCACUUUGUCUUCAACUGUUCUUUGUGCCAAUUUUGUCCUCAAAUGGUCUUCCUAUUGCUAAAAUCCUAGUCAGGAAUACCAUUCUUUCUGCGAGGCAUGCUCGGAGACAUACAAAAUCAUGUUUAUAUCAAACCAGUUAGCAUUGAGUUUAAUCUUUGGUAGUAGGUGGCAAGGUGGUCAGCAUUGAGUCACCCGUUGGUUUGUCAUGUGAAGUUCUUUUUAAGUCCUCUUGCUUCUAUCAUCCAUGGAGUACCCGAUGCGCUGGAAUGCGAUAUUAUCAACAUAGACUCCCAGCUCUCCAGGAAACACCAUUCUUUGAUCGGCCUCCUUGUUGUUAUUGGUCUGAAAUGGCACAAACAGAUCAAAUAAAUAUGUGAAUGAUCCUAGGGAUAAGAAAACACAGGUCAUGAUUAAACAACUGGUUUUUGAGAUGGGAGAAGAAAAAUAUUAUGGUAAAUAAUAGAUGAAACAACAAUCAGUUUUGUGUCAAAAGAAUUGCAACAUAAAAAUGAAAAUACUCUCGCAGCAUAUGUCAGCACUUGUUGACUAUAUUUGAAGCAACAUGAUCGAUAACUGCAGGAAUGUUAGCUUGAUCAUCAUUUGUGCAUGAUGAGAUAUAAUUAUCAAAAAUUUAGAUUAUUAUCAUCAGCAUUUAAGGAAGCAGAAGCCCAAGGUCUGGGAAGAUGCAGGAGACAUAGCCAGUUCAAAGUGGCCUUCUAAUUAACAGGUUGCCCACCGAUUUGCAUCCUAGGAGGCUUCAAGCCUUCAACUGUUCAUGGCAUGCUGCCUUGCCAUCCCGUAAGCAAUCAAAAAUAAAUUACCAACUUGGAUAAAGGCAUGCUUAGAUAGAGUAUUAUAGAGGCCUCGAUUGUUCAUGGCAUACAGCCUUGCCAUCCCGUAAGUACAGAUAUAUUAUGAAAUGGAUAGGAACAUGUCAUCAUCUGAUGGACAAUCAACUAGGGGAAAGCAAAAGCACAAGAAUUUGAGCAGUACUUAGAUUAUACAUUGAAUCUCAUUUGACCUUUCAGACCAUCUGUGCAAAUGGAUGACGAGAGGACAAAAUGGAUUUGCAAGAAAGAAAUUUUCAUGCUGCUUUGCAAGUCUACAACACGAUAAUAGAGCCUGUAUUCUGUAAAUAUUUUGGUUAGCUAGAUCAUAACAAUAGUUCAUAUCUGCGUGCUUUAUUCUGCUCAAGGAAAGAUGGUUACUUUAACUAGCUCUCACAAGAGAAAAUCACCUUGGCUGUCUCAGAUACAACUUCAUUUGUCUUAAUGUCACGAACGGUCAUUGCGCACCCGCAAUAAUUCUGUUUAACUAACCGUUCGUCACUCUCAUCUACAUGUAUAUUUGCUUGGCAGUAUGUUUUGGCUUGGUUUUAAGUCUUUUUACUUGUAAAAAUAUAAGUUCGAAUAAGUUAUAGCGCUAUAGUACGAUCGUUCACCGAACCGAGCAAAAACAUCCCCAAAACAGCCUAAAAUGGCUCUAUUUUCACGUGCCACGGGCUGUUUUCUGUAGCCCGCUGCUACAUGCGAAAUGUCAGCCAUCUCAGCACCCUAGAACCACCCAAGUGGCACCAUGGGGGAUGGGACUUCGGUAUAGUGUCGGGCGUUAAAUAAUGUUUCGCAAGUUCGUAUGUUACCUUAACGGGAACUUGUUGUCACGCCCGGCACCCGGUGAGCAGCUGUUUGUAGACUUGCAACUAUUCGUUCAACCCUCUAAAGUCUUUGUUUUCCUCCUCUCCCUCUUUUCUCUUGUGCACGUAAGGUGCUCGCUGAAUUGCUUGUAAAGCUUUCCCUUUUCAUGAGACGUCGGAACUUGUCCGUCACUCGUUCUUCGAACUAAUCAACUUUCUCUUUGCCGCAAGAGUGCCUCGUGACUUAGGCAACGCAAGCUAAGUUCGCGUCUUUGCCGCAAGGGUGCCUCAUGACUUAGGUAAUUCCAGCUAAGUCCAUGAAAUUAUGGUAUUAGAGCGGGCAAGCACUUCGAGCGAGCAGCGAAGGAACUUCGCAACUUCGCCAUGGUAAAACAUCGUGGCAAAUCAAGCAAGACGGGGCAAGCCAGACCAUUUCCCCAAGCAGCUGCAGGUGGGCUGCAAGUGCACACUCACUCUCAUGCUGUUGGAGCCACUCAAGAGGAGCACGAUAGUGAACAUGAUGAGCGAGAAGUUGGCUGCUCUCCGCGAGCGGAAGAGGCGCAAUCUGGUGCACCAACCGGGAAAAAGAGACAUAAGAAGAGACUCACAACGGCGGAAACCCGCUUAGAUAUUCUUGAAGCGAGCUUGGAGGAACUCUACCAUGGCCAACGAAGGCUUAUUGGGAUAGAAAGCUCACAAAAAGAAGCGGAGUCCAAGAUCGACAAGGUUGAGGCCCUAGUCGACCGAUUGUCAGAUGACACCAAAGACUCCGUGCAACACCUGUAGGAAGUUGUGGCGGAACUCACUUCAAGGGUGACCAUGCUCACAAGAGCACUAAAUGCGGGAGGAAGCAACACCCGCGUUGCGCCGCCACAAAACUUAAGGGCACCCGAGCCUCAUAGUUAUGGAGGGGCUAGAGAUGCUAAAGAGCUCGAGAAUUUCUUGUUCGAUAUGGAACAAUACUUUCGAGCUACGAGGCCUGAUUCUAAAGAAACCAAAUUUUCUAUAGCAACAAUGUAUCUGAAUAGAGAUGUAAAACUUUGGUGACGAACCCGUUGGGAGGAGAUCCAAUAAGGUUAGUGUCGAGUUGACACAUGGGAGGACUUGAAGCGGGAGUUGAGAACUCAGUUCCUACCGGAGAACAUAGAGUUCGUCGCAAGAAGGAAGUUGAGACAACUCCACCAAAAUACUUCUAUUCGAGACUACGUGAAGCAAUUUUCUAUGCUAAUACUGGACAUAUAGGAUAUAUCUAAGAAGGACAAGCUGUUUAGCUUCCUCGAUGGUUUAAAGCCAUGGGCUCAACAAAAACUACAUCGAAGGAAUGUCACCGACGUGAUCGGGGCAAUUGCUGCCGCAGAAAGGCUCACUAACUUUAUUUCCUUCGAAGACCUAGGAAAAAGGAAAUAAUCUUCAAGCAAUCGCCCUCCAAAAUAUUCUCGAGAGAAGGAGCUCGAGAGUAAACAAUGAAGAGUUCCCACAAAGGGCCAAGCCCGAAAGGCAAGGCCCUGAAACCUAGCGGAUGCUUCUUGUGCGGAGGGCCGCACAUGGUGAGGGAGUGCCCACAAAAACAGGCACUCAAUGCUUUAACAACUUUCAUCCAUCCCCCCAAAUCAGACAAGGGCAAGGCCGUCGCUCUUAGUUCGAGUAGUUCUGAAUCCAGCAGUGACGAUGAGGAGUCGUAAGGACCCCAAAUGGGAGCAAUGCGUUUGUUGAACACCAUGCGGGGUCAAGUGGGGGAGAACGCGAAGACAAGGCUAUAAAAAGCAAGAAGUGGUGAGUUGAUGUACGUAGAUAUUAAGCUCAAUGGCCAAACGACCCAUGUAAUGGUGGACAUGGGUGCUACCCACAAUUUUAUUACCGAUCGAGAAGCAAAGCGACUUGGGCUGAUCUUGGAGACGAGCCCAAGUCGAAUGAAGGCAGUGAACUCGGAGGUCAAGCAAAUCUCCGGCUUGGCAAAAGGAGUUCCCAUCAAGAUCGGAACAUGGAGCGGGAGCACAAACAUGAUGGCGGUGCCACUAGAUGACUUCCAAGUGAUUCUUGGAAUGAAAUUUAUGCACGCGAUGAAGUUGGUGCCAAUGUCGUUCUUUAACUCCCUAUGUGUGAUGGGAGGUGACAACCCCUGUGUGGUUCCCAUCUUUCGGAGAGGAGCUAGGGAACCCCAACAUAUAUCGAUAUUACAACUAAAGAAAGGGGUGCGAAGAGGUGAAUUAACAUUCGUGGCUGCUAUGAAGCUAGAGCCACUCGAUGAGAAGGUCAUUCAUGAACCUGCUGUGGUGGCGAACGUCCUGAAAGAGUUCACUGACAUUAUGCCAUCCGAGUUGCCGAAGACUCUUUCGCUACGCAGAUGCGUGGAUUAUAACAUCGAGCUGGAGCGGAAGUGAAGCCUCUAACGAGACUACCCUACCGCAUUAGGUGAAGGUAUAGUGGUGGUCUCAUUUACAGUUCUAAAGCACCAUUCGGAGCUCCCGUUCUCUUCCAGAAGAAACAAGAUGGGAGCCUCCGACUAUACAUCAAUUACCGAGCCCUCAACAAAGUGACGGUAAAGAACAAGUAUCACAUCCCGCUCAUCGCGAACUUGUUCGACCAGUUGGGCAAAGCCAAGUAUUUCUCAAAACUCGACCUUUGAUCGGGGUAUUGGCAGGUGCGCAUUGCUGAAGGUGACGAAGCGAAGACUACCUGCGUGACUAAGUAUGGAGCAUUUGAGGAGCAUGCUUAUAAACCAACUAUUCAAGGAGUAUUUGGAUAAGUUCAUGGUCGUCUACUUAGACGAUAUCGUCGUCUAUAGUCAAACGCUCGAGGAGCAUGUCAAGUACCUUCGGAUAAUCUUCAAGGUUCUCAAGGAGAACACUUUGUUUGUGAAAAGGGAGAAAUGCUACUUUGCACAAACGGAGAUCUUAUUCUUGGGGCAUCGAAUCGGUGAUGGCUCCAUUCGGAUAGACAAAUCGAAGGUGCAAGCGGUUGCGGAAUGACGAACUCCAAAGAAGGUGCUAGAGUUGAGAUCCUUCCUUGGCUUCGUCAACUACUAUCGACGCUUCAUAGCAGGGUAUUCAAAGUGUGCAACUCCACUAACAGAGUUGCUAAAGAAGGAGCAGCCUUGGAGGUGGUAUGAUAAAUGUAAAAUUGCAUUCUAAGAUCUGAAGACUGCUGUGUUGGAAGAACCAGUGCUCAAAUUGCCAAACUAUGGGGAGCCAUUCAAAGUCCAUAUAGAUUCUUCAGACUUCGCUAUUAGGGGAGUACUCAUGCAGGAGGGUCAUCCGGUGGCCUACGAGUGCCGCAAACUCAACAAGACCGAACGGCGGUAUCCAGUGCACGAGAAGGAGAUGACAGCGAUGAUCCACUGUCUACGAGUUUGGCAACACUACCUUCUUGGAUCACGAUUUGUAUUAAAGACAAAUAACAUCGCUUUGAGCUAUUUCUAAACCUAGAAGAAACUCUCCCCAAAGCAGGCAUGAUGGCAAGACUUCAUGGCAGUUUGAUAUGGUAAUGGAGUAUAAGCCCGGAAAGGCGAAUGUCGUGGCCAAUGCAUUGAGUCGAAAAGUGGAGCGUGUGAAUGUCGUACAAUUGGAGGGCAGAGGCCAAGCAAGUCAGUCGCACUCCAACUUCCUUUCCAGGAUCAGGGAUGGACUAUACAGCGAUCCCCAAGCAGAAGCCAUAAUACAGCUCAUUAAAGAAGGUAAGGCACGACAGUUUUGGGUCCACGAGAGACUCGUUUACACCAAAGGGAAUAGGGUCUAUGUUCCUUAAGUGGAUAAUCUAAGAUGUAAACUCUUAAGAGAGUAUCACGAUUCCCUUUGGCUGGACACCCAGGCAUUCAUAGAACCUUGGCUCUCAUGGAGAGGGCCUUCUAUUGGCCGAAGAUGGGGACUGAUGUGGAGGAAUAUGUUCGAACGUGCCUCACUUGCCAACAAGACAAGAUGGAGCAACGGAAGCCCGUGGGACUUUUGAAGCCGUUGCCCGUACCAGAAAGGCCUUGGGAGAGCACUUCCUUAUACUUCAUAUCAAGCUUGCCUACAGUAAGGAGACUCGGAUCGAUACUCGUGGUGGUCGAUUGAUUUUCUAAGUAUGCAACUUUCAUUACUGCUCCCCUACACUGUUCAGCAGAAGAGGCAGCCAAGCUGAUGAUGAAAGAUGUGAUGAAGUAUUGAGAGUCCCCGUACAAUAUCAUUAGUGAUCGAGACGCUCGGUUCUUGGGAUGAUUCUGGACCGAGCUAUUCAAAUUGUUGGGAUCGAAGUUAUACUUCUCCAUAAGCCUCCACCCCCAGACAGAUGGCUAGACUGAAAGGAUAAACUCGCUCCUAGAGCAAUAUCUUCGGUACUACAUGAGUGCCAACCAACAAGAUUGGGUGAAGUUGUUGGACAUUGCCCAAUUCUCCUACAACUUGUAGCGGAGCUCUGCGUCCAACAAGAGCCCCUUCGAGAUCAUUACAGGGUAACAACCGUCAUCUCCUCACACCAUGGUAAUUAGGUAUACUGGGAGUAAUCCGUCAGCCUACCACUUUACAAGGGAGUGGCAUCGAAAUGCAGAUAUUGCGUGGGCUUACUUGGAGAAGGCAGCAAAAAGAAUGAAGAAGUGGGCAGACUUGGGAAGGCGACCGCAAGAGUUCAAGAUUGGCGAUUUGGUGUUGGUCAAGCUCCAACCAGCAUCACUCCAAUUCUUUAGGAAUAAAGUCUAUAAAGGAUUUGUGCGUAAGUAUGAAGGGCCCUUUUCAAUUAUCAGUAGGGUGGGCAACGUCUCCUACAAGUUACAGCUGCCAGCGUGGUUCAAAAUUCACAAUGUUCUUCAUGCUAGUAACUUAAAAGCCUACCACUUAGAUCCGCAAGAUACUUCCCGAAGUGUUCCAACUCGGCUACCCCCCACCACAGCCCCCUACGAGAAGCGAGUUGAAACCAUUUUAGUGGACCGCAAGAUAAAGCUACCCAUUGGAGCUGAGCAGACCGAGUACUUUGUGAAACGGUGAAAGCUUCCCCGAAUUGAAGCCAGUUGGGAGCCUAAAGAUGCUCUACGACAUGAAAAAGCAAUUAUCAACGAUUAUCAACAAGUGUCGACGAGAGCAUCGACAGUUUGAGUGGGGGAGAAUGUCACGAACGGUCAUCGCACACCUGCAACAACUCUUUUCAACGAACCGUUCGUCGCUCUCAUCCAUAUGUACAGUUGCUUAGCAAUAUGUUUUGGCUUGGUUUUAAGUCUUUUUGUUUGUAAAAAUGUAAGUUUAAACAAGUUGCAGCAUUAUAGUGUGACCGCUCACCGAACCGAGCCAAAACAGCUCCGUUUUCAUGUGCCACAGGCUGUUUUCUGCAGCCCGUUACUGCACGCGAAACGUCAGCCAUCUCAGUACCCUGGAACCACCCGAGUGGUACCAUGGGAGAUGGGGCUUUGGUAUAGUGUCGGGCGUUGAACAAUCUUUCGCAAGUUCGCACGUUACCUUGAUGGGAACUUGUUGUCGCGCCCGACACCCGGUGAGUAGUUGUUUGUGGACUUGCAGCUGUUCGUUCAACCCUCUAAAGUCAUUGUUUUCCUCAUCUCUCUCUUUUCUCUUGUACAUGCAAGGUGCUCGCUGAAUUGCUUGUAAAACUUCCCCUUUUCGUGAGACGUUGGAACUUAUCCGUCGCUCGUUCUUCGAACUAAUCAACUUUCUUUUUUACAGGUCCUUCAAGACUUGCGAGAGGUUGCAAGUGAGCUGAUCUUUGUGGA
This 8850-nucleotide long non-coding RNA is filed under the name Musa acuminata (dwarf banana). RNAcentral describes it as "long non-coding RNA (MACU_LNC003683)". The record is from RNAcentral. Lineage: Eukaryota; Viridiplantae; Streptophyta; Magnoliopsida; Zingiberales; Musaceae.